GAGACCUGCAUCUACAAUUGCUAACGAUUCCUCCGGGAAGAUCGAGCACAUUGUAGGGACUGCCCUGGAAACAGGGAGGAAGGCGCAGGCCAUGAUAGGUCAGUAUGGUCCUAAUCUUCUAGGCUACACGCGCGUUGCAAUGAUAGAGACAAUGGGAUACAACUCCGAAAGGAGAAGUUAAUCCUCGAAACUCUAUCUUAGUUUAGAUCGAGCCCUGUAACUCGGACUCGUGAAACCGGAAUCCCUAGUAAUCGGACGUCAACAGCGUCCGGUGAAUAU
This 279-nucleotide ribosomal RNA is filed under the name uncultured archaeon. Its description in RNAcentral is "partial 16S rRNA". It matches the Rfam family "Archaeal small subunit ribosomal RNA", at positions 1047 to 1325 of the family's 1478-position model. The record is from RNAcentral.